RNAcentral lists this long non-coding RNA (234 nucleotides) under Sparus aurata (gilthead seabream). Its description in RNAcentral is "lncRNA (ENSSAUG00010026246.1)". The record is from RNAcentral. Lineage: Eukaryota; Metazoa; Chordata; Actinopteri; Spariformes; Sparidae.
CCAAGAUAGUUGACGAGGAUGAGAGUUGUUGUGCGAGUCCCUGCAAGGCCUCCCUCCAUGAUUCAGACGGCUCGAGUCGGCAGAGGUCUUUGUCUUCAGGUUCCAGGAAGGAUAAAAACAUAAACAAUAGCAAUCAUCGCUUUGACCCGCAUGACAUUCAUUUAAAAGGAGAAGAACAAGCGAUAUCCUCGGGGAUGGCUUCACACUGAAGGGAGAGCGAGAGCCUUUGUUCCC